CCUAGCAGCUACACCACCUGCAGUUCAGACUCCAUAAUCCACCUGAAGCUAAGCAGGUUUAGGCCUGGCCAGUACUUGGAUGGGAGACCAACUAGCAAUGUGGGUUGAUGCCGUAA
Ribosomal RNA from Paramormyrops kingsleyae, 116 nucleotides. Lineage: Eukaryota; Metazoa; Chordata; Actinopteri; Osteoglossiformes; Mormyridae. The record is from Ensembl.